RNAcentral lists this ribosomal RNA (293 nucleotides) under uncultured bacterium. RNAcentral's name for it is "partial 16S ribosomal RNA". It matches the Rfam family "Bacterial small subunit ribosomal RNA", at positions 1101 to 1397 of the family's 1533-position model. The record is from RNAcentral.
ACCCUUGCCUUAGUUGCCAUCAUUUAGUUGGGCACUUUAAUGGGACUGCCGGUGACAACCGGAGGAAGGUGGGGAUGACAUCAAGUCCUCAUGGCCCUUAUGGGCGGGGCUUCACACGUAAUACAAUGGUCGGUACACAGGGUUGCCCAGCCUCGAGGUGGAGCCCAUCCCCCAAAGCCCAUGUCAUUCCGGAUUGCAGUCUGCAACUCUACUGCCUGAAAUCGGAAUCGCUAGUAAUCGCGGAUCACCAUGUCGCGGUGAAAACAUUCCCGGGCCUUGUACACACCGCCCGU